CAUCCUCCAAGGCUAAAUACUCCUGACUGACCGAUAGUGAACCAGUACCGUGAGGGAAAGGCGAAAAGAACCCCGGCGAGGGGAGUGAAAAAGAACCUGAAACCGUGUACGUACAAGCAGUGGGAGCACCCUUCGGGGUGUGACUGCGUACCUUUUGUAUAAUGGGUCAGCGACUUAUAUUCUGUAGCAAGGUUAACCGUAUAGGGGAGCCGGAGGGAAACCGAGUCUUAAUUGGGCGUUAAGUUGCAGGGUAUAGACCCGAAACCCGGUGAUCUAGCCAUGGGCAGGUUGAAGGUUGGGUAACACUAACUGGAGGACCGAACCGACUAAUGUUGAAAAAUUAGCGGAUGACCUGUGGCU
This 360-nucleotide ribosomal RNA is filed under the name Salmonella enterica. RNAcentral describes it as "partial 23S ribosomal RNA". It matches the Rfam family "Bacterial large subunit ribosomal RNA", at positions 454 to 816 of the family's 2925-position model. The record is from RNAcentral. RNAcentral also lists the same sequence under 1 other name. Lineage: Bacteria; Pseudomonadati; Pseudomonadota; Gammaproteobacteria; Enterobacterales; Enterobacteriaceae.